Molecule: ribosomal RNA, 467 nt
Filed under: uncultured bacterium
Lineage: Bacteria
Description: partial 16S ribosomal RNA
Rfam family: Bacterial small subunit ribosomal RNA
Source: RNAcentral
GAUGAACGCUGGCGGCGUGCUUAACACAUGCAAGUCGAACGGAAAGGCCCAAGCUUGCUUGGGUACUCGAGUGGCGAACGGGUGAGUAACACGUGGGUGAUCUGCCCUGCACUUCGGGAUAAGCCUGGGAAACUGGGUCUAAUACCGGAUAGGACGAUGGUUUGGAUGCCAUUGUGGAAAGUUUUUUCGGUGUGGGAUGAGCUCGCGGCCUAUCAGCUUGUUGGUGGGGUAAUGGCCUACCAAGGCGUCGACGGGUAGCCGGCCUGAGAGGGUGUACGGCCACAUUGGGACUGAGAUACGGCCCAGACUCCUACGGGAGGCAGCAGUGGGGAAUAUUGCACAAUGGGCGCAAGCCUGAUGCAGCGACGCCGCGUGGGGGAUGACGGCCUUCGGGUUGUAAACCCCUUUCGCUAGGGACGAAGCGUUUUGUGACGGUACCUGGAGAAGAAGCACCGGCUAACUACGUG